AUGAGAUGGAACCACGUAACAUCUAGUUACAUGAAUAGAUACAUCAGUUAUACUGGUGGUGGUGGUGGGAUUACAUCUAGUUACAUGAAUAGAUACAUCAGUUAUACUGGUGGUGGGAUUACAUCUAGUUACAUGAAUAGAUACAUCAGCUAUACUGGUGGUGGGAUUACAUCUAGUUACAUGAAUAGGUACAUCAAUUAGGCUGCUGGUGAUGGGACUUUGUAUCUGCUAAAUUGAGGUGUUGUUGUCAGUAAUUGAAGGGUUUUGACCUGCCUUGACAGGGCAUGGGAUUAGGUUACUCAUAGGGUGCUGUGGAGAAACUCUUUGAAAAGGGCAUUAUACUAUGGCUGGAAUGCUGCUUGCCUAGAUCCAACCACUGAAGUUUAAACACUCGGCAUCUGAGAAUGCAAAUCCACCACAAGACUCCUGUCUCUGUCUGGCCCAUUGUAACAAGACUCCUGUCUCUGUCUGGCCCAUUGUAACAAGACUCCUGUCUCUGUCUGGCCCAUUGUAACAAGACUCCUGUCUCUGUCUGGCCCAUUGUAACAAGACUCCUGUCUCUGUCUGGCCCAUUGUAACAAGACUCCUUUCUCUGUCUGGCCCAUUGUAACAAGACUCCUUUCUCUGUCUGGCCCAUUGUAACAAGACUCCUGUCUCUGUCUGGCCAGCGGUAGGUAAUAUUUCUCUGUCUGGCCAGCGGUAGGUAAUAUCUCUGUCUGGCCAGCGGUAGGUAAUAUGUUCACUAACUUUCUCACUGACGUCUGUUCAUGUUCAUAUUUGCAUGUGCAUUGAGCACUGUACUCAAACCUAAAAUAAAAUCCCUAUUCUGUACAUUAGCAACCUGUUAAUAUGCUAAGUGUUGCUUUGUGCAAUGUGAUGCAUUAAACUAAAGUCAAGUGGGCUUUUCAACCUCCUCUAUCCGCUCCUGUGAUGAAAAAUAACUAUUUUACUUUCCCUCUGAAAAUGCCUCUCAAAGAAUCACUAAGUCGCCCCAUAAUGCCUCUGCUGCCAGGCCUAUAUGGCCUAACCAAUAACCAGCCAACAUUCACAAUGGAUUAUUUUAAACACUAAACACAAGUUCUGCGUCCCACAUGUCAGUCUAUAUAAUUCACUAAUGCCUGUGAGUGGCUUGUUCAUUUGGAUUGGGGGGUGCCCUCUGCACUCUCUGGUCCGCAGCGCUACCUAGCUACGAAGCCCAUUCCUGCCUCACAGUUUCCAGUAGUAGGUUUAUAUCAUUACAAUCCACAGCUACAACAACUAAAUGUUAUUUUAAAUUAGUCCCAAAUGGCACCCUACUCACUGUAUAUAGUGCCUUUAUAAAGGGAAUAGAGUGCCGUUUGGGACUCAGACUAAGGCUGACCCCUGGCGACCCCGGAGAGCUCCCAAGCAUGCAAAUGGGGUGAGUCAGAGAUUGGCGGCAGCGCGACGAGCCUCUGCAGAGCGGAGUGAGUGGGAGAAGAGCGAGAAAGAGAGUGGGAGAAGAGAGAGCUGCUAGCGUGGUAUUGGUGCAGCAGCAGCAGGCAGGAAUCCACAUCAGUCAGUCAGAGUCCACACCCUGGUCUUUCUGUAAUGACAAGUUUCUCUGGCGGUGCGGGGGAGAGACUCUACAUGGCCUUUAGUCAUCAUAACUAGCCUACAGUGUACACACACACUCUCCUGAGCGGCGGUGUAGUUUCUCCUGCACGGCGGUGUAGUUUCUCCUGCCCGGCGCUGUAGUUUCUCCUGCCCGGCGCUGUAGUUUCUCCUGCCCGGCGCUGUAGUUUCUCCUGCCCGGCGGUGUAGUUUCUCCUGCCCGGCGGUGUAGUUUCUCCUGCGUGGCGGUGUAGUUUCUCCUGCGCGGCGGUGUAGUUUGUUUUUCCUGCGCGGCGGUGUAGUUUCUCCUGCGCGGCGGUGUAGUUUCUCCUGCGCGGCGGUGUAGUUUGUUUCUCCUGCCCGGCGGUGUAGUUUCUCCUGCCCGGCGCUGUAGUUUCUCCUGCGCGGCGGUGUAGUUUCUCCUGCGUUUCUUAUUUUUCAUAUUAGUCUACUUUACUGCAUCUACUUGCCUUCAGCUCCUCUAAGAUAACCAUGGCCCCAUGUCAAUUCCCAGCUAAGUUGACUCAGUUGACUGGGGAGUUGUGCAGAGCUGAAGGGGAGCCUGGGGAAAUCAAGUAGGAGGGCUACGCCUCAGAGCUAUUAGUCAACUAAUUACACACACAGAGAUUACCUCUGACCGCUCCCUCCAUAGGAGUUCUUAACACCAGUUAAACUAGUAGUACACAGCUGUGGCUGAUCAACUAUAGUGUAGAGAGUCAGAGAGGAGAGAGUUGUUCAGUAGGUGAACACGGUCAGAGAGGAGAGAGUUGUUCAGUAGGUGAACACGGUCAGAGAGGAGAGAGUUGUUCAGUAGGUGAACACGGUCAGAGAGGAGAGAGUUGUUCAGUAGGUGAACACGGUCAGAGAGGAGAGAGUUGUUCAGUAGGUGAACACGGUCAGAGAGGAGAGAGUUGUUCAGUAGGUGAACACGGUCAGAGAGG
Molecule: long non-coding RNA, 2513 nt
Organism: Salmo trutta (river trout)
Lineage: Eukaryota; Metazoa; Chordata; Actinopteri; Salmoniformes; Salmonidae
Source: Ensembl